Molecule: long non-coding RNA, 219 nt
Organism: Haliotis rufescens (red abalone)
Lineage: Eukaryota; Metazoa; Mollusca; Gastropoda; Lepetellida; Haliotidae
Exons: 2
Source: RefSeq, a predicted model, not a curated record
GCAAAUUAGUUCAGACUAGGCAUUGGUAGGUCCUUGAAACAACAACCUUCUUAUGAACAUGUUAUAACAUUAGCUUUGCGCAGUGGCGGUACCAUAGCCAAUGAGGUCCAUCCGAGGCGUGGUUAUUGCUAGUUGAAAACUAAUCCCAAUACCCCGCGCUGACGCCCUUCACUGGGCGGCAUGCGCAAUUUUUGUUAGCUCCUACGGGGGCCUCAUAAC